UGGGGAAUUUUGGACAAUGGGCGAAAGCCUGAUCCAGCAAUGCCGCGUGUGUGAAGAAGGCCUUCGGGUUGUAAAGCACUUUUGUCCGGAAAGAAAUCCUUGGCUCUAAUACAGUCGGGGGAUGACGGUACCGGAAGAAUAAGCACCGGCUAACUACGUGCCAGCAGCCGCGGUAAUACGUAGGGUGCAAGCGUUAAUCGGAAUUACUGGGCGUAAAGCGUGCGCAGGCGGUUUGCUAAGACCGAUGUGGAAAUCCCCGGGCUCAACCUGGGAACUGCAUUGGUGACUGGCAGGCUAGAGUAUGGCAGAGGGGGGUAGAAUUCCACGUGUAGCAGUGAAAUGCGUAGAGAUGUGGAGGAAUACCGAUGGCGAAGGCAGCCCCCUGGGCCAAUACUGACGCUCAUGCACGAAAGCGUGGGGAGCAAACAGGAUUAGAUACCCUGGUAGUCCACGCCCUAAACGAUGUCAACUAGUUGUUGGGGAUUCAUUUCCUUAGUAACGUAGCUAACGCGUGAAGUUGACCGCCUGGGGAGUACGGUCGC
Molecule: ribosomal RNA, 542 nt
Filed under: uncultured bacterium
Lineage: Bacteria
Description: partial 16S ribosomal RNA
Rfam family: Bacterial small subunit ribosomal RNA
Source: RNAcentral